Molecule: transfer RNA, 89 nt
Filed under: Candidatus Aenigmatarchaeota archaeon
Lineage: Archaea; Nanobdellati; Candidatus Aenigmatarchaeota
Description: tRNA-Asp
Rfam family: tRNA
About the family: Transfer RNA (tRNA) molecules are approximately 80 nucleotides in length. Their secondary structure includes four short double-helical elements and three loops (D, anti-codon, and T loops). Further hydrogen bonds mediate the characteristic L-shaped molecular structure. tRNAs have two regions of fundamental functional importance: the anti-codon, which is responsible for specific mRNA codon recognition, and the 3' end, to which the tRNAs corresponding amino acid is attached (by aminoacyl-tRNA synthetases). tRNAs cope with the degeneracy of the genetic code in two manners: having more than one tRNA (with a specific anti-codon) for a particular amino acid; and 'wobble' base-pairing, i.e. permitting non-standard base-pairing at the 3rd anti-codon position.
Source: RNAcentral
GCCCCGGUGGUGUAGUGGUCUAGCAUACAGGCCUGUCACGCCUGUGACCCUAAGGGCAGGAAACACGGGUUCGAAUCCCGUCCGGGGCG